This 205-nucleotide unclassified non-coding RNA is filed under the name Ramariopsis sp. Its description in RNAcentral is "partial contains 5.8S ribosomal RNA, internal transcribed spacer 2, and large subunit ribosomal RNA". Lineage: Eukaryota; Fungi; Basidiomycota; Agaricomycetes; Agaricales; Clavariaceae. The record is from RNAcentral.
AACGCAUAUGGCACCUCCAGGCCCAGCCCGGAGGUAUGUCUGUUUGAGAAUCAUAUCCUUUUGAUUUUUGUUGAUCAACAGAAUCGACUUGGGCUCACAUCACUGUCUGCCCGAAAGUAGCCGCGCUGUCGUGGGGUUACAAAUGCUGCGACAACGCCAAAUGCUACGCGAUCUCAAAUCAGACAGGACUACCCGCCGAACUUAA